Molecule: ribosomal RNA, 487 nt
Filed under: uncultured bacterium
Lineage: Bacteria
Description: bacterial SSU rRNA
Rfam family: Bacterial small subunit ribosomal RNA
Source: RNAcentral
AUGAACGCUAGCUACAGGCUUAACACAUGCAAGUCGAGGGGCAGCAUGGUCGAAGCUUGCUUCGACUGAUGGCGACCGGCGCACGGGUGCGUAACGCGUAUCGAACCUGCCCUAUACACGGGGAUAGCCUUGCGAAAGUAAGAUUAAUACCCGAUGCCAAGUUGAGAUCGCAUGAUUUGAUUUGAAAGAAAUUCGGUAUAGGAUGGCGAUGCGUCUGAUUAGGUAGAUGGCGGGGUAACGGCCCACCAUGCCGACGAUCAGUAGGGGUUCUGAGAGGAAAGUCCCCCACAUUGGAACUGAGACACGGUCCAAACUCCUACGGGAGGCAGCAGUGAGGAAUAUUGGUCAAUGGGCGGAAGCCUGAACCAGCCAAGUAGCGUGCAGGAAGACGGCCCUAUGGGUUGUAAACUGCUUUUGUGCGGGGAUAAAGUGUGGGACGCGUCCCAUAUUGCAGGUACCGCAUGAAUAAGGACCGGCUAAUUCCGUG